GUCCUCUAGAAAUUGCCAGGCUUCUAUAGGCUCUUUGUUCAUGAAUGGACCCUGACACAUUGAUUCUAAUAUGGUUCUAGAGUUUGGAUCUAGUUCUUCAUAAAUGAUUUGGCACAGCCUCUAAGUUUCUAUUCCAUGGUGUGGGUAUUGACUCAAAAGGUUCUUAAAACGAUCAAAGCACUUCCAAAAAGACUCAUCGGGUAAUUGAUAAAAUUGAUUAAUUUCAUUCUUAAAUUUGGCAGUCUUAUGGUGUAGAAAAAUUUUUUUCAAGAAC
This 274-nucleotide long non-coding RNA is filed under the name Elaeis guineensis (African oil palm). RNAcentral's name for it is "long non-coding RNA (EGUI_LNC025792)". The record is from RNAcentral. Lineage: Eukaryota; Viridiplantae; Streptophyta; Magnoliopsida; Arecales; Arecaceae.